AGAGUUUGAUCAUGGCUCAGAUUGAACGCUGGCGGAAUGCUUUACACAUGCAAGUCGAACGGUAGAGGGGGCAACCCCUUGAGAGUGGCGAACGGGUGAGUAAUGUAUCGGAACGUGCCCAGUCGUGGGGGAUAACGUAGUGAAAAUUACGCUAAUACCGCAUACGAUCUAUGGAUGAAAGCGGGGGAUCGCAAGACCUCGCGCGAUUGGAGCGGCCGAUAUCAGAUUAGGUAGUUGGUAGGGUAAAGGCCUACCAAGCCAACGAUCUGUAGCUGGUCUGAGAGGACGACCAGCCACACUGGAACUGAGACACGGUCCAGACUCCUACGGGAGGCAGCAGUGGGGAAUUUUGGACAAUGGGCGAAAGCCUGAUCCAGCCAUUCCGCGUGCAGGAUGAAGGCCCUCGGGUUGUAAACUGCUUUUGUACAGAACGAAAAGGUUUCUAUUAAUACUAGGAGCUCAUGACGGUACUGUAAGAAUAAGCACCGGCUAACUACGUGCCAGCAGCCGCGGUAAU
Molecule: ribosomal RNA, 517 nt
Filed under: uncultured bacterium
Lineage: Bacteria
Description: bacterial SSU rRNA
Rfam family: Bacterial small subunit ribosomal RNA
Source: RNAcentral